Molecule: ribosomal RNA, 478 nt
Filed under: uncultured bacterium
Lineage: Bacteria
Description: partial 16S ribosomal RNA
Rfam family: Bacterial small subunit ribosomal RNA
Source: RNAcentral
GACGAACGCUGGCGGCGUGCUUACCACAUGCAAGUCGAACGGUAAGGCCCUUCGGGGUACACGAGUGGCGAACGGGUGAGUAACACGUGGGUGAUCUGCCCUGCACUUCGGGAUAAGCCUGGGAAACUGGGUCUAAUACCGGAUAGGACCAUGCGCUUCACGGUGUGUGGGGGAAAGCUUUUGCGGUGUGGGAUGGGCCCGCGGCCUGUCAGCUUGUUGGUGGGGUAAUGGCCCACCAAGGCGCCGACGGGUAGCCGGGCUGAAGUGGCAACCGGCAACACUGGGACUGAGAUAGGGCCCAGUGUCCUGCGGGAGGCAGCAGUGGGGAAUAUUGCACUAUGGGCGCAAGCCGGAUGCAUCGGCGUCGCGUGGGGGAUGACGGCCUUCGGAUUGGAAACCUCUUUCAGCACCGAGGUAGCGCAAGAGGCGGUAGGUGCGGAGGCAGGGCUGGCCAAGUGCGUGGCUGCAGCCGCGGUAA